UCACCUUCUCCUCUCGUCGAUCCCUCUCCGGUGGAUUCCCCUUCGGAAGCGUCCGGGCCAGGUGGCCCAAGCCCGAACCCAGCCGGAGAAAGUGUACAUCGAACCACAGUCUGAGCCAUCCCGCCAGCGGUACAUACCUGUUCGUUCUCCAACUAAAGAAACCCGCCCAGGUCACGGCUCAAGUCUCCAUCCCCUUCCUUCCAACAAGACGACCCGGUCAUCAGCUCCAGUAUUCGCUUCCUGACCCCUCCCCUGACUUCAAUAAAACUUAUUAUUGUGCACUUUA
Molecule: long non-coding RNA, 286 nt
Organism: Xiphophorus hellerii (green swordtail)
Lineage: Eukaryota; Metazoa; Chordata; Actinopteri; Cyprinodontiformes; Poeciliidae
Exons: 2
Source: RefSeq, a predicted model, not a curated record